Molecule: ribosomal RNA, 425 nt
Filed under: uncultured bacterium
Lineage: Bacteria
Description: bacterial SSU rRNA
Rfam family: Bacterial small subunit ribosomal RNA
Source: RNAcentral
GGGGAAUAUUGCACAAUGGGCGCAAGCCUGAUGCAGCCAUGCCGCGUGUGUGAAGAAGGCCUUCGGGUUGUAAAGCACUUUCAGCGGGGAGGAAGGCGGUGAGGUUAAUAACCUUGUCGAUUGACGUUACCCGCAGAAGAAGCACCGGCUAACUCCGUGCCAGCAGCCGCGGUAAUACGGAGGGUGCAAGGGUUAAUCGGAAUUACUGGGCGUAAAGCGCACGCAGGCGGUCUGUCAAGUCGGAUGUGAAAUCCCCGGGCUCAACCUGUGAACUGCAUUCGAAACCGGCAGGCUAGAGUCUUGUAGAGGGGGGUAGAAUUCCAGGUGUAGCGGUGAAAUGCGUAGAGAUCUGGAGGAAUACCGGUGGCGAAGGCGGCCCCCUGGACAAAGACUGACGCUCAGGUGCGAAAGCGUGGGGAGCAAAC